UAAUAAAAGCUGGGGUGCCGUUUGGCUGAGAUGAUACCCAUUGACCUGAUCUGGACAGUGCCAGCGUAGGGAGCUUUGACGAUCAAGAA
The sequence is a regulatory RNA element, 89 nucleotides long. It matches the Rfam family "TPP riboswitch aptamer (THI element)". Rfam says of the family: Vitamin B(1) in its active form thiamin pyrophosphate (TPP) is an essential coenzyme that is synthesised by coupling of pyrimidine and thiazole moieties in bacteria. The previously detected thiamin-regulatory element, thi box was extended, resulting in a new, highly conserved RNA secondary structure, the THI element, which is widely distributed in eubacteria and also occurs in some archaea. Analysis of operon structures identified a large number of new candidate thiamin-regulated genes, mostly transporters, in various prokaryotic organisms. The record is from Rfam.